This 22277-nucleotide long non-coding RNA is filed under the name Malus domestica (apple). Its description in RNAcentral is "long non-coding RNA (MDOM_LNC021262)". The record is from RNAcentral. Lineage: Eukaryota; Viridiplantae; Streptophyta; Magnoliopsida; Rosales; Rosaceae.
GUCACACUUUUGCAACCGGACCAUUGAGGCGUUAUUGAGGAAAUACAAUGUCAAUCAUAAGGUUUCUACACCUUACCAUCCUCAAACGAAUGGCCAAGCCGAGGUUUCCAACCGAGAGAUCAAGCAAAUACUUGAGAAGACCGUUGGGCCAACACGGAAGGAUUGGAGCUUAUGGUUAGAUGAUGCACUUUGAGCGUAUCGUACGGCGUACAAAACCCCCAUUGGGAUGUCCCCCUUCCGACUUGUCUAUGGCAAGGCGUGCCAUCUUCCCGUUGAAUUGGAGUACAAAGCACUUUGGGCCAUCAAGAAGUUUAACAUGAACCUCGAUGAAGCGGGAAGUCAAAGGAGUUUGCAAUUGAAUGAGCUUGAUGAGAUACGGCACGAGGCGUACGAUAAUGCAAGCAUUUACAAGCAAAAGACCAAAGCUUUCCAUGACAACAUGAUCCGUGGGAAAUCAUUCUCAAUUGGGCAGAAAGUGCAAUUGUUCAAUUCCCGUUUACGUUUGUUUCCCGGUAAGUUACGUUCUAAGUGGAUUGGACCGUUUGUUAUUACUAAUGUUUUUGUUCAUGGUGCAGUCCAAAUCCAAAGCUUGAAAACGGGACAAGAAUUCAAGGUGAACGGGCAUCGUUUGAAGCCCUAUUAUGACACCUUUGUGGAGCAUGCCGUGGAUGACAUACCCUUGAAUGCCGUGGGCCCUAGUAAGGAGUGAAUGAGGUCUUCGUCCGGCUAUACGAUGUUAAAGCAAGCGCUACUUGGGAGGCAACCCAUGCAUUCAACAAAGGAGGACAUAGAGAGCACUCCAAUUCCAGAUUUGCGUUCCUAAACCCUUCUCUUUGUUGUUGUUUUCAUUUAUGCCAUGUUAAAUUGCUUAGUUGCUGUUUUGUUUGUUUGUUUGUUAUUUGUGUUAGUCUAUGCUUGAAACAUUGAGGACAAUGUUUGAUUUAAGUGUGGGGGGGUAACCAAAGUGUUUUGAUGCAAAUUCGUAGGGUUUUCUCACUCAUAAUUUCUAAUGUUGUUUUUCACUAUUUUUAAGCCUUUUUAAGCUGUUUUGGUGUGUUUUAGUGUGUUUUAAGUAAAAAAAUCCGAAAAUCCCAUAAAAAUUUGAAAAUUUGUUUUAAAAACCCAAAAAGAGUUGUUUUUGUGUGUUUGUUUGUGUCUUAGGGUACCUUCCAACACAAUGAUGAGGAUUUGGUUUUAAUUGCAUAACUGUUGAAGUAAGUUACAAACAUGGAUGAAAGUUUGAUAUGCUCUUUGGUUUAUGCUUAGUUGUAAUUAUAGUUCAUGAAUUCACAUGUAAUCAAAAGAAAAAUUAGUUUUUGUAAAAUGCUUGAAGGAAGAAACUCAAAAUAACGUUACAACCCUGAGAGACUUGAGCUUUUAACGUUCUUUGGAGAGUUAAUAAUCUAUGCAUUUGUUGUCUUCUAAAGUCGUUGCAUGAUCUCAUUAUUCUAAAGCCCGUUUCAUUCAAAGCAUAAAAUUGAUUUGCAUAACACAUAUUCAAGAUAAAGUUGUGUAGUGACCACCACCAUAGCCAAAAAGCCGUGAAUCCCUAUGUCAUUAUGUUUUGUAGGUGUUAACCCCAUUGAGCUUUGUUUAGCCUUUUCUUUGUUAACCCACAUUACCCUCACCUAGCCUAGAUUAGGACUAUCCAUACCCUCGUUCUUAAAGUAUAGUAAGCAUGAUUCAAAUUGAAUUCCUUUGUGCAGAAAAACAAGUGUGGGGGAAGGGAUUUAUGUGUGGGAAUUUGUGCCAAAUUCAAGAAUUGGGCACGAGAAAAGUGAAAAAAAAAAUGUGAAAAGAAUGAAAAAGAGGUCAAAAUAAGUAAGAAAGAACUCACAAGUGUUGGUUGUUGAAGAAAGGGUCCAAAAAGUUAAAUUAGACCCUAAGUAUUGUGUAUUUCAUCCCCUUGUGUGUCUAAGUGAUUUUCUGCACGCAAAAGUGAAUUCUAAGUGUCAAGUUCAUUACUUGUUUGCUAUCGCUUUAAGAACUUUUGUUUAUCCUUAACCUUUCUUUGUUAACCAAUACCCCUUAGCCCCGUUACAAUCCUUAACUUCUAUCUUGAGUGUUAUGUAUUUCAAUAUGUGGAGUUUGGGAUUGGUUUGAGCAUAUGGUGUCCCUGGUUCUCGCAUCUAAGUAGUAGCAUUCCAUUCAUGAGAUCAUAUCUAUAAAUGCUUAAUCAUUCCAGAAAAGUGCUUCUUUUGUUAUAACAUGUGUGAGUGUUCGUUUUCAUGUUUACAUCAAUCUUCUCACAUGUACUUAGUAUAGGGAGUGUAGUUAGAAAAUCUGUGUGAAAAUAAGAGUGUAUCCAGUAAGGAAUUGAGUGGAUUCUCUAAGGCAUGUUACUACGUCCAUAAUGUUGUUUUAAACGAUUAAAUGUGAGCUAGUGAAUGGUGACUAUGAUUAAGUAUGUGCUUAAGUGUUAAAUUGACUCAAUUAUGUGGGAAUGAUAAUCUUUAACAUGUCAUGUGCAUUGGAAAUCCCUAAGGAAAACGUUGGAAGGUUUAGGUUGUUUUUGUUUGUUUGGUUUGGUUUUGUUUUUCUUUUGUUUCUUUGUUUUGCUCGAGGACUAGCAAAAGCUAAGUGUGGGGGAAUUUGAUAGGAGCAUUUUUAUGCGACUUAAUUGGCUUGUUCUCAUGCAUUUAUGUUGUUUUUCCUUAGUUAGUUUAGUGUUUAAAGUCAUUUUCAUGCAAUUUCAGGUUUUAUUGUCAAAGUAUGCAAAAAUGAGCAUUUUGGAGCUUUUAGGAGCAAAAUUGGGCUUGGAAUGAAGUGCAUAUGCAUGGAGCAAGGAGUUUGGACGAAUUUGAAGUCAAAACAUCAAAUGAACAUGUUAAAAAUCUGGUGAAACAAAUACAAGUUGCAAGAAGGGAUAGGUUUCUAGAAGGAUUGACCAAAAUUCCACUCAAAAACAUGUUCACACCAAAAAUCACAUCCUUGCCGUGCAUCCUUGAUGCUUUCACACCAGAAAAUUGAGUGAAUGAUUCAAUACCUAACCAACUAGGAAAUUGAAUAAAUGAUUCAUCCCUAAAAUCACAUGCUUGCCGUGCAUUCUUGUUGCUUUCACACCAUAAAAUUGAGUGGAUGAUUCAAGACCUAACCCACCAUUAUUCUCCACAUGCUUAUCGUAUAUCCUUGUUGUUUUCACACCAGAAAAUUGAAUUAAACAAGUCCAUCCUCUCCCUAUAAAUACCCAUGGCAGCAGCCUCAUUGAGGACAUCCAGAAAUUAACCAUUCUCCAACCUUGUGUUGCAACAAAGAAGAAGAGGAAAGUUCUUGUACGUGCUUGCUAUCCGACAUGGAUCGUUGGAACGUUUAGGUGUUUUCUUUCUUUUGUUUUCAAUGUAUAAUUCUAUUUAUCUUUGCUUUGUGAACAUGAGGAACUAAACCCCUAUUUAGUUAGGGGGAAGUUUGAAGCCAUGAACAUGCUUGUGAUAUGAAUUGAUUUCUUCCAAUUGUGAUUUGAUAAGUUGUGAUUGCAAUUCAAUUAUCUAUUUUCUUCAUAACUAAUUCUUGUAUGUUUAUUAAGGAUGCAUACUUAGUUUUCAUACAUGAAUUAGAUGCUAGAAUAUAAAUGAGUUUCACCUAAUUGUUACAAGUUUAUAUUCAUGAGUAGUGAAGGUUGCUUGUCACAAUCGCGUUAAUUGAAUUCUUGGCAAACGUAUCAUGCAUUCAUAGUUACAAUUGCCUCGUCGACACUUAUGAUUUUCAUUGAACGUAAUGAUCUCUGAUUGUAUCUCUAUUAUGCAUUCAUAUAGGGGACUUUUAGAGAAUAAUUUGGAUUGUCGCAUGCAUUCAUCCAAUUCAAUAAGUAAAGGAAAAUCUGAGGGUUAAUUUGUGCAUCACGGUCAAUCUGGAGUGUUGAGCAUCAUAGUUUAUUGAAAAGCAAUUGGAAAUCGAUUCAUGUACAAGUGUGUCAUGUGUGAAGAACGGAUCUCUAACUAAUCCAUCCACCAUCUUAUUUCUCAAAUCGUUUUAUAAUCUGCCUAGCUAAAAAUCUAUUUAAGUUUUAGUUUAUUUGUUUUAUUUUCAACUUCACCAACCCAAAUCCCCCUUUUACUCUCUUGUUUUAAAGUCUUUUGUUUACAUUUUUAACUUUGUUUCUUUUUGUUUUUGAGUCAGUUUAGAGGUUUUAGCAAACCCUCCUAAUCCCCGGUUUAGAACGAUCCCUACUUACAUACUUUGCUACAAUUGUCAAAAGAGGGUUUAAUUUGUGUGCUUAUAAUAUUUCGCAUCAGUAACUUAUCGGGGAAAAACUGAGCUGAGUCAGACCUUCCGAGUUCGACGUCCAAAACUCGGUCAAAACGUGAUCUGAAGGUAUGGUUGUGCUAGUGGGUUCAAGGGGAACACGAUCGUGUGGUUUUCAGGUCAUGUUUGUGAGCUUUUGGUGCUAUUUGAAAGAGUUGCAAAGUGAGAGAGUGAGAGAGAGCGUUUGGGGAGAAAGAAAGAUAAGAGAAAGAGUGCUAAGUUUUCUGGUUGGUGGGUGCAAAUGAUUGUGAUGAAGUUUGAUUGGUUGCUUCCACAGGAGGGAAAGCAAUUUAUUAGGUGGUGAGGAUGGUUUCAAGAGUUUGACUGCUGAAUGUGUGAGGUGAAAGGGAGAUCGGAUCCACCAAUUAGGGAAAGGGAAAGAUUUUCGGAUUUUGUACAAUUUUAAAUGUACAAAAUCUGUAGGAACAAUGUUUCCAACAUUGAUAAAUUUGUACAUAUGUGUACCAAAAUUACUCAUGGUUAACGUACUUUAACGAAUCGUAACUUUUUCGUUACAUAUCCGAUUCGGGUCUAACUCGUGCUCACGCGUUUAUAACGACGAGUACUAAUUAAGUACGAAACCAAGAAAAAGAAACUGAAAGUUGAAAACCAUGUCCAUGUCAAGUUCCACUUUUGUCCAAAAAAGGGAUAUAAUCAUCAAAUUACACCAACGGAAAAGAAAUUACAGUGACAAAUAAGGACGGGUCAUCACAUUUGUACCCAUAAUUUGUACCCAUAAUUUAUUAAUAAUGUUCCCAUUUGUCUUUAAAAUUGUACCACCUUGUUAUAUGCAAAAUGUACCGAAUUUCUUUUUUGCAAGUACCACCUCUUUUGUGUAAAAUGUACCCAUUGUUUUUUUAUAUGAAAUGUACCCAUUAUAUAAAACGUAUCACUUUUUUGUAUAAAAUGUACCAACUUUUUAUAUGUAAAUUGCAUCAUAUAAAAAUUAUCAAUUUUUUGUAUGUAAAAUGUCAUUAAUAUAAGUAAUGACAAAUCAUGAGUUUCAUUUAAGUAUAAUUUCUUUUAAUAUUUUCAACAAAUUAUGGAUUUUAUUUAAAAUCUCAUUAAUAUAAAUAACUACAAAUAUCAAAUUUUGAUUUAAAAAUUAUAAUAACCUACAUAGAAAUGUAUUAUUGCAUUAAUUUUAGAGACUUCAAGCAAAAACCAAAAACAAACAAGAUUUCAAUCAAAGAACGUUGAUAAAUAAGGACCGCAUCCAAAGCUACCCUUAUUUAAAAUUCUAAAUACAUAAAAACAUAUAAAAAAGAAAUAAAAAUAAAAAUAAACAAAUUUAAAAAGGAUGGUUUUGUGUAAAAUCAAUAAAAACUUUCAAUAUGAACAAUAUUUAUGUAACUUAUAAAUAGGUCAAUCAUGUAUUGUGAUACUCAAAUGCAUUUAAAAUAAACAAAAAUUACAAAAUUUGCCACUUCAAUUGGCACUCUCUUUCUUCUAGUUUAUAUAUUUUGGAAUAAGUUAAUACAAAUCAGAAACUGCAUUGCAGUGUCUGUUUCUUGAUUCUUUUUUUUUUUCAAUUAUUGGUUUGUUUUUUCCAUCACGCACACGCCUCCUACAUGUUCAUUUUUACAUUUAGAUUCAGACACUACAAUGCAGUGUCUGUUUCCUGGUUUAGUUUUUUACUUUUGAAUUCAAACACUGUGUUGCAAUGUCCAUUUCCUAGUUCUAUUUUUUCCAUCAGUCACACGUCUCAUACUCUUCACACCUCACACAACUCUUGAUUUCUAUUGUAAUGCAGUGUCAAUUUCCUGGCUUAGUUUUUUACAUUUGGAUUCAAACACUGUAAUGCAACGUCUGUUUCCUGUCUAUAUUAUUUACAUUUAGAUUCAGACACUGUAAUGCAAUGUCCGUUUCCUGGUUCUUUUUUUUUAGUUAAGCGACCUCCUCCGUGUAAACGAAGGGCAAGAGAGAAAGAGAGAGAAAGAGAGAGAAAGAGAGAGAGAGUCAUAGAAUAUUCAUAUUCUAACUAUUUAUAGGAUUCUGAUCCUCUCUGAAUCAGUUCCAUGGGGAUAAUCCAACGGCCAAAACCUCUUCCCCUUCCUCUCUUCCCCCUCAACUCUUUCUCCCUACCGUCACACCUCACCGUUGUUAACAAUGUUAUGACUUGUUCAUCAAAAUAUUUUAUUUUAUUUUUAAGACAUGUGUAUUAACUAUUUUUCCCCUGAGUGUGUGUCUUAAUUAAUUUUUUAGCCGCGCUAGUACAAAAGUAAGUAAACAACCUCUGGUAUUUAUGGGUCGAGAUGUUGGUCAACAAAUUAAUGUGACUUGUGAAGUACAGCAAUACACAAGUCGUUAGUUAUUUGUUUCCUUAUUUUUUAAUUCUAAUUAUAAUUGUCUAAUUGAUUGAAAAUGCUUAUAUACAUAAUUAGUUAACCCUUCCAUAUAGCCUAGAAAAUGAUAAUCCUCUAUACUGAGAUAUAUUAUAAGACCAAUAAGUUGAUUUGAGAUCUCGCUAUCAACCAAAUGUAACUAUAAAUGUAGUUGUCAGUGUCACUAUAAUUGUUACUGUUGCUUAAAAUAUAACUACCUUGGUGCCCAAAGAAUCCUCUUACUAUGAUGCAGUUUAGACCCAUUAAUUGCAUCCCUCCCAAUAACUAAAAAGUGUAUCGUGCCUGAAUAUAAUUGGGUUCGCGACCAUGGAACAAAAAAGCACUCUCGGAUGAAAAAAAAUAAAAUAAAAUAAAAAUUCCCUGGUGCAGUUGGGCCAUCCUGGAAUUGAACCGUAUCGUAAUCUCUAAAAGAGCAAGGUGCGUUUUGUUAAAUAUCAUUUAAUAUCUGAUAACAUAACCCCCCCUUCCCCGCCAAGGGAGUUAUUCAUGUUCAAGCAAGUUUCAACAAUACCAUUGUGUAUCAAUUUUAGUAAGCUAUUCAAUGGUUCCUUUUGGAUAGGCCUGUUUUAGCACGUUUCCACAAAAGGUAACCGGUUAGGUUGACUUUGGAAACGCUACUAAGGACCAGUUGGAGAAUGAAAAAUGUCUGCGGGUUUGAUUUUGAAGUGUAGUUUUCCACUCUAUUUUCAACUGUAUAUAACAAGGGGUUCUUUUUCACCUUUCCCUCACGGUACUUGUACGCUCAAGGUUAAUAUCCUUAUACUUUCUUAAGUUUCAUAAUUAUAUUCUCGUACGUCAGUUCAACGUUGAAAACGAAAUUUGAAUCGAAGUUGUGAGGACUUAAUUGUAAAUUUAUGAUUAAUGGAGGAGCAAAUUUGUAAUUCACUUAAAAUAAUUUUAAGUGAGGUUAUAACCCACUCCGAUACUCUCUCUCUCUCUUCUCCUUCAUUUUUUAAACUCACUCUCUUUCUGACCUUCCAACACUCUCUCUCCAAGCUUAGAGAGCUUCACUCUUGCUUUCACUUCGAUUCCCUCACCAAUCCAGCUCCAAAAUCACAUAUUUGACAUCCCUGAGACUCAAGGAACACGAAUAUGGUCUUGCAUGUUGCAUCAGAGCAUCGUAGGGUAAUCCACCAUUAAAGCCGAGAGCCUUUAGCUCUAUUCUUGAAUACCAGGUGAGAUUUCUCGUUUAACCUUUAUAUUUUUGGGUUAAAUCUUGUCUGGAGUUGGUUUGUAAUGAAAUUUGGGGGCUUAAACCUCUGCGAAUCAUAUGUGCUUGCAUGUUUGUCUCUGCGGCAUUUUGCCGUUGAGUUUGAGGUUGGCGAUGGCCUUCAAUGCCUCUAAUCUCUAUGUACUUCAACCUUAUUGGAAUGUGAGGUUUGGGGUUCAUUAAUCCAACUCUAAUCCAUGCAUGCAUUCAUUUUUUCUGUUUCCAGUUUCUGGCGAGAAAAUGAGGACGCAUUCUGGAGAGUUUGAAGUCAAUUUCCCUCCAAAACCUGUUGCAGGGCACUUGGGGUAAGUUCUUCAGUCUAUUUGUGGGGGGUUUUGAGAUAUAAUUUGUUAGAGUAAAUUUGAAAUCUCUAACAUAAUUCGUGUUGAGAACCUCUGUUUUGAUGCAUGCAUGCUCUCAGUUUUAUUCUGCAGAAUCCGGUGCGUUUUUCCGAGCAGAAGUCUUCAAAUCCGAGGUGGAUUCGACUUCCCCUCCUCCUAAACUCCUAAGGCUUUAGGAUUAAUUCAUGGUGGUUUUGGUUGAAAAACCCUUCGAUUUGGUGCUUGGAGAAGAUCCAUGACCAUCUAUCUGUUUUGAGUAGUGUUCGUGGCAGGAAUUUCCGUUGGGGAUGUUUCCUGGCCGAUGAGCACACAGCUCCCCUGGAGGUUGGGGCCGGUUGAGGGCUGCUGUCGGGCUUCUGCUUCGUUUCUGGGCGUUGUCGGGCAAGUCUCGUCGGGCAAGACUCUUCGGGCAAGGCUCUUCGGGCAGGGUUGAAAGAGAAGGACAGCGUUAACUUUGAGAGGUGUCUUUAUGGGGCCUUAGGUAUAGGCCUUGAGGCUCACAAUCAAGGUUAACAUUUAGGUGCUCAGGCGUGCCACUGCCAUUUUUAGCAUGGCAGAUGUAAAAUGGUUGUCGUUCUUUCAUUGUAUAUAUGUAUGUAUCCAAGAAACCGUGUUAGUUAUAAUAGGUGCCUUUGGGGCCUUAACUGUAGGCCUUGAGGCUUCCCAUAAAUAACUAAACCAGUGCUCGAACGCAUCAUAUUUAUUCUCGUGAUUGUAGGAGUUUUCUAACUAUUAUAUUUCUGAUUACCCGAAUCCAAGGAAUAGAACGAACCCAAAUGGGUGCCUUUGUGGGGCCUUAGGUGUAGGCCUUGAGGCUUCCCAUCAGAGUCCAUUCUUUACUUAGACUCUUGAGAUCGCUGAAUGGGAUGAAUCCAAAUGGAUGCCUUUGUGAGGCCUUAGGUGUAGGCCUUGAGGCUUCCCAUUAGAGUCCAUCCCAUGCUUAAGUGUUCUAUGAUAAUCAUGAUAUAAUAGAAAGAAAACUAGAAGGUAGGUCGAUUACUUACGCCCCAAGUAACUUCGGACUUCUCGUUUAUCAAGGAUUGUCUUGGAUGGGUUAAGUCCACAUAAAGUUCUUUUUUAUGCCUUGAGGCCAAGGACUUUUAAACUAAUCAGAUUCAUAUGCCUGCGGGCUUAGGACUUGGAUCUGAUUUAAGCAUUAAAGAUAUAUUUAAAUCGGAUCCAAGUAUUGAGAAAGCUUUGUCAUUGGAUUUUGCUAGAAACAACUUGCAUAUAACUAAAAAUAUACAACAUAUUGCUAGACUCUAAAGAAAGAGAAGACAAAGACAGAGCAAAGCAGGUUGGGCAAGAUUAAACCUUAUCAAUUAAGGCUGAUCGUCUUGCAGGUCCCUAUCUUUGUGGUUCUGUCAAAGGUCUGAAAGCUUAGAGGUGGAGAGGGGAAAGGUGAAUACAAAAGGGUGAAUCGAUACUACAACAAGUUAGAACAAGGUAGCAGAGCUAUUACAAAGUUUAGGAGAAAAGAUUAUCCCGAGGGGGAUGAAGGCUUGGGCUGACUACAGCUUCGUUUUGAAAGGCAAAUCUGGCUUUUUGAGCAGAGUUUGUGCUUUUGUUUGUUUGUUUGAGUGUCCUUAAUCCUGUCUUCUCUUCCUCCUUUUAUAGACAACUCGGUUUGGCUCCUGUAGCGAUAGCUUUGCCCGAAUGCGGUUUAAGGGUGAUGACUCAUUAGCUUUAUUACAUGUAAUGCCACCAAAAAGUACUUGAUGGGCUGUGCAGUCUGAUCAGUCUACACCACUUCGUCCUUGGGUAGGUAAGCAAGUGGCCCUUUUCUUGCUCCCUAGGUUUCAUCCGGACCUUCUGUUGGGCCGACUCCACCUUUGGGCCUAAAGUUCAGUUUUAACCCAAACAGUGCCCCCUUCAAUUAAUGUGAAGGUUGGAAUCCCAAGCGUCGACAUUGAUUGAAUACCUGCAUGCAUGCAUAUCCGUCUUUGGGAAUUGGUGCUUCCGGUGCCCCUUGCUCUUCUCACGACCCUUGAACUGCCCCUUGAGCCCUAUAAAAUUUAGCUCGGGACUUCUUCAAUCAAACUACCAACUUCCCUUUGGCUCUGGCCUUCAACUUCCAUCCCUUUUGAGCGUUCUUGUUUCCUCUUAGCAACUGAGAAAUGGGUUCCUUAGGUUUUGAGUGGAGUUUCCUAAAACUCCCAUUUCGUGAGAAAAUGAGGUUUCACCUGAUGAUUGCUAUCUCCAACACCCUUGGUCGACCGCCCCUCUAUCUCCAACACCCCUGGUCAGGUGGCUUCCUCCUGGUGGUUUGCCUUCCCGCAAGUUGCGGUGAUAAGUUGGGCUUCACCAUCACAUAUGGUGACAGCCUCGUCAGAGGAUCCUCUACCAGGCCCAUGUUGGCCGCACAACCCGAUCACCCGAUUGGGUUCCAUCCAUGAAGACGUCGGGCAAUCAGCUGAGGACACCACCAUACUCAGAGAGAAUCAAAUGUAAUACAUAGGAUUGGAACUCUGUAAAAUUCCAUCAAUUUGUCGACAUGAAACAAAUACUAUUUUAGCAAUUUCUGUCUUUCUGCCUUCUUUGAAUGUUUGAUGAACACAAAACACUGCAUAUGAGAUUCCCGAAGCUCGCUUCACUCUGCCCCCUCUUCAAUGUAACAAUCCCUAACAUCCCAUAAUGUAGGACAAUAUUUCUUUAAGAAUCUAACAUUAAUGGGAUGUUUCUGCCCAUUUCCUUCGAGGUCCGCUAGGUAGUAUCCUCUUUUAUUCAAGACUCGAUUAAUAAUGAAAUGACCUUCCCAUGUCGAGCUCCACUUUCCAAAACCCCGAAGCUGAGCUCCCAGUGGGAGGACUGUUUUCCAUACUAAAUCUCCCUCUUUGAAAGACUUUACCUUCACCUUCUUGUUAUAAGCUCGGGCAACAGCUCUCUUUCCUUCUUGAAUCUGGUUCAAGGCUUCAAUUCGGGCUGCAUCCAGGUCUUCAAUACCUUGACACAUGGCUUCGAUAUAUUCUGCACUAUGUAACCCAAAUUGGUUUUGAAUUCUUACGGAACUAACGUUGAUCUCCAUGGGGAGCACUGCAUCUUGCCCGAACGUCAAGGCAUAAGGAGUCGUGCCUGUCCCCGCUCUUUUGGAAGUCCUGUAUGCCCACAAUGUGUUCCCCAACAUCUCAUGCCACUUUUCUGGACUAUCUAUCACCAUUUCUUUUAAUAAUGUUGACCAAGAUCUUGUUGCUAGCUUCGGCCUGCCCAUUUGACUGAGGGUAGUACGGACUGGAUUGGAUCAUCUUUAUCUCUUGUACUUGUUUGCAAAACUCGUCGACUUCUUUUGAAAUAAAAGAUGGCCCACGGUCUGUCACUAUAGUCUAGGGCACCCCAUAUCUGUGUAGGAUCUUGGUCUCGAUAAAAUUCUUGACUACGGUGGAAGUUAUGGAUUUUACUGCUGAUGCUUCCACCCACUUGGUGAAGUAAUCCGUUGCUACAAUUAUAAAAGUAUGCCCUUUACUGGAAGCUGGAUAAAUUUGCCCGAUGAAGUCCAUCGCCUAUCCUCGGAACGGCCAAGGCUUGACCACGGGAUUUAAAGGUACUGAAGGCACGUGUUGGAGAGGUUCAUGCCUCUGACAUUCUUCACAACCGCGGGCAUAAGACUUGCAGUCUUUUUCCAUUUCGGGCCAAAAAUAACCGUACCUUCUGAGUAGCCAUCUCAUCUUUGUCCCUGCUUGAUGUGCUCCACAUAUUCCCUCAUGUACUUCGGCCAUCACUCUCAUGGAUUCUUCCUGACCUAAGCAUUUUAGCAGUAAUCCAUCUGGGAUUUUUCUUAGCAGGUUCUUCGCCCAUAAGACAUAUUUGGUUGCCUGCUGCCUAUUAUUCUUACUUGUAGGUGAAGAGGGAUCCUUUAAAUGAUGAAUGAUGGGUGCCCUCCAAUCUUCCAUCUUGGCUUCUAGAACCAUUGCAUCCAAACUAAAUCCCCGAUCUAAGAUGGAAGGAAGGUUUCUUGUUUGAAUCUUGACAUCUAUUCCAUACUUUCUCUCCUGUAUUGGCACUCCUGAGGCUAGUUGCGCCAUUUCAUUGGCUACCAAGUUAGAUCCCCUAGGAAUAUGAUUGACCGAUAUCUCAGAUUCCCAGAAACUUAACAAUUGUGUUGCUGCCAUAUAGUACCCCCGCCAUAGUGUACCCCGCCAUAGUGAUAUGUCUGCACUUGAACUCGCCAUUUAGCUGGUUUAUUACCAAUUCUGAAUCACCAAAGACUUCUACUUCUGCUGCCCCCAAAUCCAACAGGAUUUCUAGACCAAUAAUCAAUGCCUCAUACUCUGCCCGAUUAUUAGUAUUCUCCUGGUAAUGGAGCAGGAAUGAGUAAUAAUGAUAAACCCCCUGAGGAUUUAUAAUCACAAUCCCAGCCCCUGCAGCCUUCUGAGUGUGGGAUCCAUCGAAAUACAGCUUGCAAGGAGUAAUCCAGAUGCCUGUUACUCUUCUUAUCUCUUGCUGGAUCCAAUCUUCUUUGCCCGAAACAUCACUUCUUGGUGGUAUCCAAACGCUAGUAACCUCCAAACUUCCUGGGAUAUUGAUUACCUCACUUUGAGGUUCCUGAUGCUCGGUCAAGAAAUCAGCAAUUGCCUGGCCUUUGAUUGCCCGUUGAGGUACAUACUGAAAGCUGAAUUCUGACAGUGCUAGAAUCCACUUCCCAAUCCUUCCUGCUAGCAUAGGCUUUGACAACAUGUACUUUAUCACAUCUGUUUUGGCAAUGAUGUGUACGUGACAAGGUAACAUAUAAUGUCUUAGUUUGUUAGCAGUAAAAUAUAGAGCCAAACACAAUCUCUCCACCGGAGAAUAUCUUGUUUCUACCUCGGUCAAAAUUCUGCUGAGGUAGUAUACGGCCUGCUCCUUUCCACCUUCAUUAUUUUGAGCUAGCAAACUCCCAAUUGAUUUUUCUGAAGCAGAAAUAUACAGCUUCAAGGGCUUUCCCCUUUGAGGUGGUACCAGCAUUGGUGGAGAAGUUAGGUAGGCCUUGAUGCUGUCAAAUGCCUGUUGGUGGGUCAGCCCCUACUCGAAAUUCUCUUUAUCUUUCAAUCUUAGUAAAGGAGUCAGCGGCUGGAUUUUGCCCGCUAAAUUGGCAAUGAAUCUCCUCAAGAAGUUGAUCUUGCCUAGUAGCCUUUGAAGCUGCACUUUGUUGGUAGGUGGAGGUGACUCCAAUAUUGCCCGAGAUUUGUUCUUGUCCACUUCCACACCUCUCUGAUGAACCAAGAAUCCUAAGAAGUUGCCCGCUCUUACUCCAAAUGCGCACUUCUUUGGAUUCAUCUUCAAUUUGUGGAUCCGCAUCCUUAUCAAUGCUUGCCUGAGAUCUACUAGAUGUUGUUCUUCUGUUUUAGAUUUCACCACGAUGUCGUCGAUAUAUAUACCUCCAUGCUCUGGCCAAUUAGAUCAUGAAAAAUGGCAUUCAUUGCCCUUUGAUAUGUUGCGCCAGCAUUCUUGAGCCUGAAUGGCAUGACUAGAUACUCAUAUACCCCCACAUGACCAGGACACCUAAAAGCUGUUUUAUGAAUGUCAUCUGGAGCCAUCUUUAUCUGGUUAUAUCCGGCAUUUCCAUCCAUAAAAGAUAAAACUUUAUGCUUUGCUACUGCAUCUAUGGAUAAAUCAGCCAUAGGUAUGGGGUACUCAUCUUUUGGUGUAGCGCCAUUAAUAUUUCUGUAAUCAACACAACAUCGCACUGCUUUUGUUACAGCUUUUAAAACGGGCACGAUGUUGGCCAACCACUCCACAUAUUUGGCUGGUCUGAUAAAGCCAGCUUUCACUAGCCUUUCAAUCUCUUCUUUGACCUUUUCUUCUAUUUCCUUUGACAUCUUCGGUGGUGCUUGCUUGACCGGUUUUUAUCCUUCCUUGAUGGGCAUUCUAUGCUCUACCAAGGUUGGAUCUAACCCUGGCAUCUCGGUAUAAUGCCAAGCAAAACAGUCUUUGAAUUCUUGCAAAAGACAAAUAAUCCUGGCCCGAUCCUUGGCCCCUAAUAAGCCACUGAUCUGUAUUGGUCUUGGAUCCUCCUAUGUGCCUAGAUCAAUAACUUCCAAAGGAUCUUGAACUUCGGGUGAUGGCUUAUCAGGUUCUGCACAUAAAAAUUCGACCAACUCUGGGCUCUCGGGCAAGUCGUCUGGCCCAUCUAGGUUAUAUAUGCACUCGGCCAUUUGAAUGGCCUUAUCCAGUUCUUCACUGCAAGAUUCCUCUUCAUUUCCAUGCUGGCUGGUCGAAGCUUCUUCCUGCCAUUCUUGCUCCUCCUGCUCCCUCUCUUGUCUUCUUCCCUUCCCAUAUAUCAACAGUCUUUUAAUCAGGGAUCUGACUGCCAUGACCUGAUCUUUCUUCUUUUGUUCAGUCAUUGAUGGUGUAGGGAAUUUGGUAUGAGACAGGGUCUAUCCCACUUCUCUUUAGUAAGGAGCAUUCCUUGUUCCAAAAGCUUUUAGGUCGUCACCUUGGUAGGGCGGCCGUUCUUAUCAGCUCCUGAACAUCUCAAGAUUCCUACGUUGGGAUUGUAGAAACUUGCUUUCGCAACAUUGGCUGAGGGGAGGAACGGCCGUGUUUCGGCCUCUACUAUCUCCCAAAAGCCUGGUCCUUCAACACCCGCCUCAUGAUAUACAGCCACUUGUUGAUGAAGAGUGGAAGGUAUAGCUAAAUUUGAUGGAUCCAAUCUCUUCCGAGCAAGGCUCCGUAAGUGAAGGUGCAGUCCACCACAAAGAAUGCCAGCAUUAUCUUUUUGGAUCCCAAGUCCACCUCCAAAGGUAAUAUCCCAUGAGUCUUAGUGACAGCACCUGAGAAACUAGAUACCGUAAGGUCCGUGGGAACAAGAUUUUUCGUACCUCUCCCAAUCUUUCUCAUCUGCUUGGCCGGUAACACGUUAACAGCUGCUCCUCCAUCAAUCAAAAUUCUUUUGAAGGGCACACCCUCUAGGUAAGCUGAAACAUAUAUAUAGGCUUCAGAUGGUUGGCCAAUGAAAUACUCGGGCGGCUGAACACUAUCUCAUCUGUGUAAAUCCUUAGAGGACCACCUUUGGAUGCUUCUGAGGGCUCAGCCUUGCCCGAGUCUUCUUCUUCUAUUAUAUCCACGUUGACUUGUGCCAUCAUUGGCUCUGUUGUUAAGUAAUCACCCUCCAUAGUAGCAGGCUGAUCAGGUCUGGCACCAAACGUGGCGGAUAAUGUAUACGCCAUGUUGAUGUGGAAAUUACUGGGCUCAAGUACAUCCUUCUUUUUGCUCCCAAUUUGGUCCAUGAACUCAUCUAACCAGGCCAUCGCAUCGGCUGGAAGCAGAGGUUCUGGUAUCCCCUCCUGUUGUGGUUGAUCCAUGCCCUCGUACAGCGUUUGUUUUGGAACUUCACCGAAGGGAUCCACUGAUAGGAGCAUAUUUAUACGACUUAGUUAGCUUGUUUUCUUGCUUUUAAUUAGCUAAACUAUGAUAAUUAUAGUGUUUAAAGUUAUUUUCGUGCAAUUUCAGGUUUUAGUGUCAAAGUAUGCAAAAAGAAGCAAUUUGGAACAUUCUAGAGCAUUUUUGGGCCAAGAUUGGAUUGUGCAAGCAUGGAGGCAUGAGUAUGGACGAAUUUGAAGACAAAAGAGGCUACGAACAUGCUAAAAAUCUGGUGAAACAAAUACAAGUUGCAAGAAGGGAUAAAUUUCUAGAAGGAUUGACCAAAACUUCACUAAAAACCAAGAAACUCUUCAAUGCCGUGGGCAUUGAUUCACUUUCACCAGAAAUUUGAGUGAUGAUGAUGCAAUGCUUAAAUCACCAUGACAUGUGAGUGGAGGAUGCAAUGCUUAACUCACCAUGACAUGUGAAUGGAUGACUCAAUACCUAACCCACCAACAAUUCCCACUCUUUGCCAUGCUCACCUACUCAAUUCCACCAGAAUUUUGUGUUAAACAAGUCCAUCCUUUUCCUAUAAAUACCAUGGCAGCAACCUCAUUCAAAUCAUCCAGAAAUUAACCAUUCUCUAAGCCUUCCCUUGCCUCUCCCUACAUAUCUAAACCUUCCCCAUCCAUUCCUCCAUAUAACCAACCAUUCAACCACCAUAACCACCUUGUGCCGCCACCAUUGAAGGACAGGAGGAGUAGUGCCGUGCUUAUGCAAUCUGCAACUAUUAGAGUGUUUGGAAUUCUUUCUUCUUUUAAUUCUAUGUUCAUGUUUAAUUUAACUUGCUGUUCAAUUAUGUUAAACAUGUGGAACUAAUUUCUUUUUAGUUAGAGGCAAAUUUGAAGCCAUGGACAUAUGUUGGUUAUGAUUUGUUUUACUCCAGUUAUGAAUUCAUGAACUUUAGAUGUGGUUUACUUUUCUGUUUUGAUUAAGAACUUGUUUAUGUAUGUGGGUUGAGGGUCGACACUUAAUUUGCAUGCCUAAAACUUGAUGCUAGGAUAUAAGGGAAUUUCACCUAAUCGUUAUGAACUUAUAUUCAUGAGUAGUAAAUAUCGCUAGUCACAAUUGUGUUUAAGUAAACCCUAGGCUGGAUUAACAUGCGUAUUCCAUAGUUAUGAAUGCCUAGUCAAUGUUUAUGAUUUCCGUUGAACUUAAUGAUCUUUGUUGAAUGUCUCUAUCAUGCGUAUUCCAUAGUUAGGGACUUUGAUGAGGAAUAAUUUGGUUGUAAUGCGUAUUCCAUUCAAUCCAAUGAAUCUAGGGAAAUCUAAGAGUUAAUUUAAGCGGACCUAAUUAACUUGGAACAUUGUCAUUCAUCGUUUGUUGAAGUCAUAACUGGGAAUCAAAUUAUAUGCAUAUGUUCAUGUGUGGAUAAGGAACCCUCUAACUAGUUUCUCAUCAUUCUAUUUCAUCACAAUCUGUUUUGUUUUAAGUUUAUUUUCAAAGUUUAAAGUUUUAAAGUUCAAUUUUCGUCAAAACAAAACCCCUUGCUUUUAAGUCUUGCUUUUAGAGUCAAAACUUGUUUCCUUUAAAUCUUUUGAGUCUUUUUAAAGUUAUAUUUUCGUCCAAAUCACUUGUUAGGUCUAGAAUUGAAUCUUUUUGAUUGUUAUUUGCUGUUUUGAGUGGUUUAAGUUAGUUUUGAGUUUAUAGAGUCUUGUUUAAUAUUUUUAAAUUAAUUUAGAAUAGAUUAGCAAUCCCUCCUAAUCCCCGGCCUAGAACGAUACCCUACUUACAUCUAUACUACAAUUGUCAAAAAGAGGGUUAAUUUGUGUGUUAACUUAUUUUACGCACCAAAUUUUGGCGCCGUUGCCGGGGAUUAGCAACUUUGCUAAUCCCUUGGUUCUUUUCUUUUUGUUUAGUUUGUUUUUGUUUUAGUUUCUGACUUAAUUUUGUUUUCUUUGUUUUGUGUUACUUUUGAUAUUUGAUUUAGUUCUCUUUGUUUGAUUUCAGAUACUAGAGAAGUAAGAGAUGGAUUUUGCUAGCAUUCAAGUUCAAUUGGUGAAUCUUACUUCUCAAUUGUCACAGAUUGCCGAAAGUACCACAAUGCAAAGUGUCCCUACAUGUGGUGUGUCCUAUGGGCAAGAAUAUCCAACUCAUCAAUGUUCUCAAUUCGCUGCAAAUGAAGAUGCUUGGGGUUAUCAAGGCCAUAGCCAAUCAUGGGACAUGUUUUCCAACGCUUAUAAUUCGGAUUGGAGAGAUUAUUCGAAUUACAUGUGCAGAGAACCUCAACAAUUCCAACAUGAAGGAUAUUGGCAGCCAUAUGAGGAGUUCUAUUCAGGACCAAUGCAGCCACCACAACCUCAUAUACAAUAUGCCCAAUCAAACUCAGACUCGUCAAUAGAUUACAAUCAAAUUCUUAAUGAAUUAAACUCUAUGGUGCAGGGCUCACAACAAGAAGAAUAUCUGCCACCAUCGGAGGAGUUCUAUCAGUGGCCAUAUGAACCGUCACAGCCACCACAACAAUCAACCCAAUUCAAUUCAGGUACGUCCUUGGAUAAUGAUACACUUAAUAAUAAGUUACUCACCUCUUUGAAUCAGGGAGUAGAAAAUCAAAAACAGGAGAUGCAAGACCGAGUCAAAAGAGUGGACGAAUUGGAUAUGCAAGUUAGGCAGAUUGUGGAAUUCAUGGCACAGAUUCGAGAUCAAAGUGAACUUUCCAACUCAAACAUUGCAAAUUCAAAGGCAGAAAGUGAAAUCGAUGAAGCCAUCACUUUGGAAGGUGACAUGAAGGAUGAAGCUGUCCCAGAACCAUCCAAACACAGCCCGAACAUGGAUGAAUUGCUGCUGCAAGUAGAAGAGGAGGAGGACGACCUAGGCAGUUUAAAAGAAUUCUUGCUGCAAGCUCCUCAAAUCCCUAUGUCAUCCAACUCAGGUGAGGAAGUUCUAAAUUCACUUCAUUCUAACAUUAUUCCACCGAAUAUCCUUUGUCCUUGCAGGUUUUUUAUUCCAAAUAUCAAAGAGAGUGAAAAAAGACAUUGUGGAAGCUCUUCCAAAGGUGCAAAGUGAUAUCCCAAUUCUUGGUGCACCAAAACAAGUUUCCGAUGGUAUUGAAACGUUCAAAGAACCUUGCACACCAAGAAAAGGGAUUCAAGAAAAUGAAGUGGUUGAAGCAUAUCAAGAAUACAUCCAAGAGGCUGUGCAUGAGAUAAUCAAGCCCAAAGCAGUUGAGUUUGAUGACACGGGACAAGCCACAACCAUCAUAGUAAACCUAGCCAAGUUCAAAGUCCCGGAAAUGUUCAAAGAUGUGGUGUUUGUCAUUGAGUUUGUGUCAGAAAAAGAAAGUAAGCCAUCUUCUCCAAUUUUAAUUUUAAUUUAUACUAACAUGUUUCUGAUUUUGAUGAUUCAGGCACCCACUCUUGAAUUUAAACCAUUACCGAAUCAUUUCAAGUAUCACCUCCCAUUAAAAGAUAAAUUCUAUGCUUUGGAGCCGAGGGGAGUUUAAAGGAAAGAUUCAUCCGGCUAAAGACGUUAAAUCAAGCGCUUCUUGGGAGGCAACCCAAGAAUUCAACGAAGGGAGACUUUGGAAUCGCUAACCAAAUCCAAAUCAGAUUUGCAUUCUUACACCCUUAUCUUUACUGCUUUCAUUUUGUUUUGUUUAGUUAGUUGUGUUAUUUGGUUGAUUUCUGUGAGUUUGUGUUAUUUAGUUUAAGUGUGGGGGAAGGUUAAACAAAGUCUUUUUACAUUAAUUUACAUAUUUAAAAUAAAUAAAAAAUUAAAAAAAAAUAAAAAACACUGAAAAAAAAAAAAAACAUAAAAGUAAAAAUAUUUUACAAUGACGUGUAAACUAAUAGCAUUCAUUGGUCAGGUGGUGCUUCAGUAGUCGGCGGAGCUUCAGCAGUCGGCGGGGCCACGGAAGGAGGAGGUAUCGGAGGUUGAUCAGUUGGAGCUUCACUACGCGGUGCCGCCCUAGAAGACGAAGGCAGAUGCGGUUGGAACAAACCCACAAACCUCCGGUGAUCAAGUAAAAUCUGACCAUCAUUUUCCUGCAGCUGGUCAAUUUUCCUCUUCAUGUUUGUGGCAUAAUUGUGUGCAAGCUUGUGCAAUUGUUUAUUUUCAUGCUUGAGUCCUCUAAUCUCCUCUUUGAGACUCUGUAUUUCAGCCACCAACGAUUCAACGUGACGGGUUCGAGCAAAUAGGCGUUGGGCCAUGUUGGACACAGAACCCGCACACUACACGCUAAAAGCCAGAGACUCCUUAACCGCCAAUUCAUCAGACCGUCUAGCGAGCAGUCUGUUAUCUCUAGGGGUGACAAGGUUCCGGGCCACCACCGCAGCGGUCAUGUCAUUUUUCAUCACCGAAUCCCCAACGGUGAGAGGACCAGUAGGGGAUAUGAAAGAUGGGCGCCAUAUGUUGUCUGGUGAAGGCGGAGCUGCCUCUUCACCAAUGUUCAAGUCAAAACGACGAUCGGAAGGGCCAGACAUUUUUCAGAAUGGUAAAGAAAAAAAGAGAUCGGACAGAUUAAGAUUUUGGAAGUGCAAGAAGGGAGUGUUUACAAGAUGGAGCUCAAGUGUGUUGUGGAACAAAAUUAGCGCCUCUAUAAAAAGAAGAAAUCGAAGAGGCGCUCCUCAGAAAUCGAAGAAGCGUCCUCUCGCAAAUCGAAGAGUCAGGGCUCCUUUCUCAAAAGCCGGAUUCUUUUCUCAAAAGAGGCGUUUCAUUUUUCUUAAAAGUUGGGCUUACUCAGAAACCACGAGCCGAACCCCGGAUUUCAAAAGAUCAAUUUGUCCAGACGUGUCGUCACUCGUCACAUGCAACUAGCAGCUUUGCGGAAAUUACGGGCAGCUUUGUCAGAAAUCGCGUAAUUUGUACUAUUCAUCCAUCCACCGGCUGCCGACAAUGAGUGAGGGAAUAGUUCCGGUUGUGAAGAAAAGUCCUAUAAGUAUCUACCUUCGCCUUCCCACAGCAAAGGCACACCCUCUCAACACUUCUUCAUCUCCGAGAAUCCAGCACCUGCUCUCGAGUACUCAUCAUCUUAUGCUUCCGCUUCGUCUCUCACGUAUAAGGGAAGUCAAGAUGAUACCUCGAAGCAUGUGGAGACAACGUGUUGAUUCAUCCUCAACUAGGGACAAGGAGAAAGAAAGCAAGAGGUGGGCACUUGGAAAGAUUGAAGAAAGAAACAGACCAACACCUCUCCCUCGUGCCUGCCCGUCGUGCAGAAGAAACAAGCAGAGAAGAAUGCAGCUUGCACAAUCAUCCCAGCAGAAGGAGUCUGAGAUGAAGAACUAGAGAAGCUGCCACAUCUGCUUGGGAGAACAAAUAAGGAACUGCAACAUCACCAAAGAGCAAAGCUUCGCCGUACAAUAUCAUCAAAUCAUCACUUGCAAGUAAAAAGCUAAGUGUCACCCCGUUCAAGAGGAAAGCUGUGGAAAGUCAACAAGCACGACCAAUGAUCACUUAUUAGUUCUAUUGAUUGUCUUUUAUCGUGAUUUUCAAUUUUUCGUUUGCAAUUUUUUUUACAUUUUCUUGCGUUACUUAACUGAAUUAUUUCUUUUCUUUGUAGGAAUUUUUGGUUAUUUCCACCCUUGAAGUUGAUUGCAGAAUUUUAGCUUGGGGGGUCAUCGCUUGGUUUUACUGCAAACUAGGGAAGUUUUCAUUCCAAUUGCUUUAUUUUGUUUCUUAUUAUUUAUUUAUUUUAUUUAUAUUUGCAUUAUAGUGUUUUCUGACAUUGAGGACAAUGUUUGGUUUAAGUGUGGGGGGGGUAAACAAGCUAUUUUUGCAUGAAAUUCGUGGGAUUUUAUCACCUAUCACUUCACAUGUUGUUUCUCAUUGUUUUAAAGUGUUUUUAGUGUUUUGAUGUGUUUUAGUGUUAUAUAACAGAAAACCCUAGAAAAAAUUCGAAAAAGUUUGAAAAAUACCAAAAAAGAGUCGUUUUUGAGUCAUUUUUUGUGUUUUAGGGUACCUUCCAACACAAUGAUGAGGAUUUGGUUUUUAAUUGCAUAACUGUUGAAGUAAGUUACAAUCAUGGAUGAAAGUUUGAUAUGCUCUUUGGUUUAUGCUUAGUUGUAAUUCAUGAAUUCACAUGUAAUCAAAAGAAAAAUUAGUUUUUGUAACAUGCUUGAAGGAAGAAACUCAAACUAACGCUACAACCCUGAGAGACUUGAGCUUUUAACGUUCUUUGGAGAGUUAAUAAUCUGUGCAUUUUGUUGUCUUCUAAAGUCGUUGCAUGAUCUCAUUAUUCUUUGCUUGGUUACUACUUAGAAGGCGUUUCAUCAUUUAGUUCCAAAUACUAGAACUCAUGCCCGUUUCAUUCAAAGCAUAAAAUUGAUUCGCAUAACACAUAACAAGAUGAAGUUGUUAGUAAACCAAGAACCAAAUAGCCGCACCCCAUGUUCAUUUGUUUUGUAGGUUUAAGCCCCGUUGAGCCUUGUUUAGCCUAUGUUCUUUGUUAACCCACGUUAUCCUUACCUAGCCUAGAAUAGGACCAUCCAUGCCUUUGUUCUUAAAGCAUAGUGAACAUUACUUAGAAUGAAUUCCUUUUGAUUAUUCUUGUGUAGAAAAACAAGUGUGGGGAAGGAAUUUAUGUGUGGGAAUUUGUGCCAAAAGCAAGAAUUGGGUACGAAAAAAAAAAAAAUAAUAAUUAUGGCAAAGAGGUCAAAAUAAGAAAGAACUCACAAGUGUUGGUUGUUGAAGAAAUGGUCCAAAAAGUUAAAUUAGACCCUAAAUAUUGUGUAUUUCACCCCCUUGUGUGUCUAAGUGAUUUUCUGCACGCAAAAGUGAAUUCUAAGUGUCAAAUUCAUUACUUGUUUGCUAUCGCUUGAAGAACUUUUGUUUAUCCUUAACCUUUCUUUGUUAGCCAAUACCCCUUAG